This 124-nucleotide small RNA is filed under the name Marmota monax (woodchuck). Lineage: Eukaryota; Metazoa; Chordata; Mammalia; Rodentia; Sciuridae. The record is from RNAcentral.
ACUGAGCAUGGUGGUUCAUGCUUGUAAUUCCAGCUUCGGAGGCUGAGGCAGGAGGAUCAUGAGUUCAAAGCCAGCCUCAGCAAUUUAGUAAGGCUCUGAGCAACUCAGUGAGACCCUAUCUCUA